GAUGAAGAACGCAGCGAAAUGCGAUAAGUAAUGUGAAUUGCAGAAUUCAGUGAAUCAUCGAAUCUUUGAACGCACAUUGCGCCCGCCAGUAUUCUGGCGGGCAUGCCUGUCCGAGCGUCAUUUCAACCCUCGGGCCCCCCUCUGCGGGCGGCCCGGCGUUGGGGCUCAGGCGCCGUCUCUGCUCGGCGCCUGUCCCCUAAAUGCAGUGGCGGCCUCGCCGCUGCCUCCUCCGCGUAGUAGCACAAACCUCGCGGCUGGAAGGCGGCGCGGCCACGCCGUAAAACCCCCCAACUUUACCAAGGUUGACCUCGGAUCAGGUAGGAAUACCCGCUGAACUUAAGCACAUCAAUAAGCGGAGGA
RNAcentral lists this unclassified non-coding RNA (360 nucleotides) under soil metagenome. RNAcentral's name for it is "partial contains 5.8S ribosomal RNA, internal transcribed spacer 2, and large subunit ribosomal RNA". The stretch from base 1 to 120 matches the Rfam family "5.8S ribosomal RNA", at positions 35 to 154 of the family's 154-position model. The record is from RNAcentral.